Long non-coding RNA from Helianthus annuus (common sunflower), 962 nucleotides. RefSeq lists it as uncharacterized. The record is from RefSeq and is a predicted model, not a curated record. Lineage: Eukaryota; Viridiplantae; Streptophyta; Magnoliopsida; Asterales; Asteraceae. The transcript is spliced from 4 exons.
CAACAUCUUAAUCAGCAAGUUCGUGCGCUGGAGAUAGCAAUAGAAGUAGCAACACCUGCCAUUAUUAAUCUUAAAGAUACUUCAAAUGAGCCAGACAACAAAGUCGGAUCAACAGUGCGCCUUGCUGCCGCUGCUCAAGUAACAUUUGCAAACCCACCCAGUAUAACCUGUUGAUCCGAACGUAACAUCGAGGUCGUGCCUUGUUGCUGCUGAUUAUGCUUUGAUGUGGAUAGCAUUGUAUGUGUGGAUGACCGCAUUGCUAGAAAAGUUGUUGAGUGGACUGCACAGUAUUAAGAUGAUUUUCUGCUUUUAGUUUAUUUUUUUAUUAAAUUAAUUAUUCAUGUGUAGAGCAAUGGCUGGUGCAGUCCCUUUUGAGGAAGCUUUAGCUGGCAGACUUGAUCUUUUCAGACCUUCAUCAUCAGCAGUCACAACUUUCUAGAGAAGCGACCCCAAGGCUUUCUUCUAGCAUAAGGGAAUUGGUUCAGAAGCUCAAGGAAAGUGGUAAGACUGGUUAUUUGAUAUCUAGAGGUUUUUGUCAAAGGAUCAAUGCAAGAUUAUAGAGAGUCAAUAAUUGAUCAUUGUCAUUUUAAGUAUAAAUAAAACUAUAUUUCCAAUUACAUGCAGUAAAUGCUGCCGGAGCUCUUUUACAUGGGCUGGAGGAUGAAUAUUAUAAGGUGAUGGUCCGUUGAUGGGCUAAAAGGCAUUAGAACUGGCCACCAGUUACAAGUUUACUCACUACCACAACACUAGCAAGGUGGCCACCAGUCCACAAAUGCAAAUUUGCAGCACUUUGAACUCCAAAAGCAGUGAGUAUAUAUGGACUUGAAGAAGACAGUCUAGAAACAACUCUUAGUUUUUGUGUACAUUUAUUUUCCUUUGCAACUUUUGUAGAUAGGUUUUGAUUAGAAGUUAUGUCUUUCAUUGGUAUUUAAAUUGAAAAGUUAUGUAUGGAUUUUUGGUUA